GUACUGGCUUUGGCUGUACGUAUACUAAAAUUGAAAUGUUACAGAGAUUAGCAUGAUUCCUGUGCAAGGUUGAUGUGUAAAUUCGUGAUGCAUUCCAUAUUUUU
This is a non-coding RNA of Octopus bimaculoides (California two-spot octopus), 104 nucleotides long. The record is from Rfam. Lineage: Eukaryota; Metazoa; Mollusca; Cephalopoda; Octopoda; Octopodidae.